Molecule: ribosomal RNA, 484 nt
Filed under: uncultured bacterium
Lineage: Bacteria
Description: partial 16S ribosomal RNA
Rfam family: Bacterial small subunit ribosomal RNA
Source: RNAcentral
AUUGAACGCUGGCGGCAGGCCUAACACAUGCAAGUCGAGCGGAUGAAGGGAGCUUGCUCCUGGAUUCAGCGGCGGACGGGUGAGUAAUUCCUAGGAAUCUGCCUGGUAGUGGGGGAUAACGUCCGGAAACGGGCGCUAAUACCGCAUACGUCCUGAGGGAGAAAGUGGGGGAUCUUCGGACCUCACGCUAUCAGAUGAGCCUAGGUCGGAUUAGCUAGUUGGUGGGGUAAAGGCCUACCAAGGCGACGAUCCGUAACUGGUCUGAGAGGAUGAUCAGUCACACUGGAACUGAGACACGGCCCAGACUCCUACGGGAGGCAGCAGUGGGGAAUAUUGGACAAUGGGCGAAAGCCUGAUCCAGCCAUGCCGCGUGUGUGAAGAAGGUCUUCGGAUUGUAAAGCACUUUAAGUUGGGAGGAAGGGCAGUAAGUUAAUACCUUGCUGUUUUGACGUUACCAAAAGAAUAAGCACCGGCUAACUUCGUG